CUCAGUGAAGGAAAGCAUACGGAAGAGGAAUGACUGAAUUUUAAAAGCAUAGGUGGGCGUGGCUUCAGGGUCGAGGAUCUGCCAGUUGGUCAGACCAUGUCAGUCAGCCGAGCAGUGCGUCUCAAGCCAUCGUAGGGAAAGGAAGUACGCCGCCUUGCCUCGCCUUGCCUCGCCUCGCCUUGCUGCUGUUGGUGGUGUCGCUCCGGCUUCACUCCCAACUCGGACCAUCGCCAACUCGGACCAUCACCAACUCGGCCCUGGUCUAUACUAACUCGGACCACGAUAACCAACUCGGACCACUAUAUGCCAACUCGGACCACCAACUUGGACCAUGUUUAAAAGUUAAAUAAUAAUUCAGCAGCUCAAAA
This is a long non-coding RNA of Scylla paramamosain (green mud crab), 368 nucleotides long. RefSeq lists it as uncharacterized. NCBI's taxonomy places the organism in Eukaryota, Metazoa, Arthropoda, Malacostraca, Decapoda, Portunidae. The transcript has 3 exons. The record is from RefSeq and is a predicted model, not a curated record.